This 253-nucleotide ribosomal RNA is filed under the name uncultured bacterium. RNAcentral describes it as "partial 16S ribosomal RNA". It matches the Rfam family "Bacterial small subunit ribosomal RNA", at positions 524 to 776 of the family's 1533-position model. The record is from RNAcentral.
UACGUAGGGUGCGAGCGUUAAUCGGAAUUACUGGGCGUAAAGUGUGCGCAGGCGGCCGAGCAAGUCGAGUGUGAAAGCCCCGAGCUUAACUUGGGAACUGCGCUCGAAACUACUUGGCUAGAGUGUGGCAGAGGGAGGUGGAAUUCCACGUGUAGCGGUGAAAUGCGUAGAUAUCAGGAGGAACACCGGUGGCGAAGGCGGCCCUCUGGACGGAUACUGACGCUGAGGCGCGAAAGCGUGGGGAGCGAACAGG